GCCUUCGUGGUGUAAUGGUCAGAACACUCAGCUCUUAUUCGAGAAAUCCGUGGUUCGAGUCCCGCCGAAGGCA
Non-coding RNA from Stegodyphus mimosarum, 73 nucleotides. Lineage: Eukaryota; Metazoa; Arthropoda; Arachnida; Araneae; Eresidae. The record is from Rfam.